CAAGUCCCCUCCGCGAGUCAGUCGUCGUCUUGUCAUCACGUCACACGUGGAGCCAACGCAUGGAAACAAGUCGAAAAGAUCGAAAAACGCUUCGCGAGGAAGAACCGCAAUUUUGAUUUGACAGUCUCAGACGGCGAUACGCAAAAUAACAUUGUUGACAACAACGGACACACAAAACAAAAAGCAGCGGGCCUUCGGUGUGCUGUGGCAUUUGCUUUGCGCCCCAGAGCACGCCUAUAAGAAACACAAGCGUUGUGUCUUUCUCUUUUGUUUUGCCGCUCCUGCUUGUUUGUACAUUUACGUGUAAGACUGCGAGACCGUGCGUACCUUCUCUUCUCUAGAGCUUGCUAAGCUACACGCGCAAGCACAGAAACACCGGUCACAUACACAUACACGGCACUUUACAUCAUUUCGACUUCUUUCGAACCCAUCCUUCCCCCCCCUUUCCGCUACCGCUACCGCCAUCCCACUACUCGAAAUAGUCGAUAUUCACUCUUCUUUCGCUGUCGCUCUUCAUCUUGGUGUGUCGCCAUUGAAAGGCCAACAAAAGAGAGAAAACCGCUUUAAAGAAGCAGAAUUGCCUCGAAAUAUAUAUUCCCUCAGAGAGCAUCUUGAAAGCUGUUUUGCACGAGGAGGGGCGAAGCGUGGUUUGGUUUUGCUUAUUUAGGUGGAACAUGUUUGGUAAUUUUUUCUUUUGCCGCUGAAGCUUCACUGAAAGGGAAAAGGCGGCACUUGUAGAAGUCUUUUUGUUGUUCUCCAUAGAGCUGUCAAACGCCGUCACCAUUCACCAGACGUUUCUUCCGUCAAGAUAGGCUGCAGUCUAUGAUUCAAGCUCCAUCUCAUUUUUUUCUCGCUCUGCGUAGGAGUUUUAUUUUGUGACCCCCAACUUGUGGGAACGCGCUUCGUACUCGUCGAUUGGAUACCCCCUUUUCGGAUCAGCUGCUCGUUUCAGUCUUCCCUUUCCUUUCUACUUUCCGCGCUCCAAACUACGUAAGGUCCUUCUCAUCAACUGGCUGGUAGUAGUGGUCGUCGCUCUACCUCAUUUCUUAUUUUGAGCGCUGUCCACCGUUUGUUUGUGAGUGGGUGGGUAUCGCUGUAGAGUCUUUGCUCAUCGCCACGACCCCAGCUCCCCCUCCCCGAGUUUCCUUCGGCCCAGGUGGCGGUAGACUGCCGAGCGACGUGCUACAACGGAGAAAAAAGAGCACACACAGCAAAUAUACGCCCACUUCUUUUCUUUCUCCGUCUCAUACUUUCUUGUGGCUCGCCCUCUUCGAUUGUAACCGAUGCUCGCUAGAUACCUCGAUCCUUCAGUUCACCCGCUCAGAGUUGGGCAGGUGGUCGCCUACGACUACCUUCACGCUGCGAAGACGUGGCAGUGGACCCUGGGUACGGUGCGUGAGAUCAAGGACUACACGGCCGUCGUGCAGCAGUGGGGCCUUCACACCGGAGACAUUGACACGCUGCGCUCCAUUCUCCUCAAAGAGGUCGACACGGAAAAUGGACGCAUGAAGAACUAUCAUGAUAUGCUGGCUAUCGCACGAGAGAAGCUCGCAUCCAUCCGCCGUAGCAAUGAGGAUCGUGUUUCACACGUUCGAGGCCACUUUGACAAGGCUCGUGAAAAAGUAGAGCUCAUUGACGAGGUCGAUUUGCGCAAGGUCACGGCCCAGGCCGCCCCAUCCCCGGUUGCUGUAGCAGUGCUGAAGGCGGUGUGGGCCGUGGCCAAGUGCGAUCCCACGGCGGUUGAGUUCUACGAGUGGGCAGAUGUGCAACUGGAGUACCGGAAGCCAGCCGCUCUCGAUGAGAUCGCCAAGACAGACGUUCUCGCGAAGCUCUAUCCUUCCGCGGAAAGCCUCCAGCAGUCCCUGGAGCAGGACCCCAAGCUGAACUACAAGGCGGCGGCGCGCGACUCGCCGGUGGUGGCCAGCCUCCAUGCGUGGGUCAUCACAGCUCUUGCCUACCAGCAGGCGUACAACCUCCUGGCGCACGACAAGCGCAUCCAGGAGCAGAACGACGCCAUCGCAGCCGCCAUUGCUGGCAUGAAGGCCUGUCGCGCCAAGAUCGCCAAGCUCAAGGACGAGCUGUCUUCAAAGGACACGGCUGCACUCCCUGGUCAGGUCACCUCCUUCACCAGGACGUCAGUCCUCGUGACCAUUCCGCUGUCUGCCGUCAUCUCUCCCGUCAAUGUGGACACCGAUGUGAAGCGAUGCGUGCUGACUAAGGAUGAGGUCGAGCAGAUCCCUAUCGAUGCCAAGAUAACACGAUAUGCCCAAAAACAAAAACUGGCUAUCACCGGAUCUCACCUUCUCGAUCAAUACGCUGCCGCCACCACUACACACAUCUACGUCACUGAACUGGAAGACCGCCUCUUCUUCUUUCAGCAUUACAUGGCUUCCGCUCUACGUGACGCACAGACAGCUGCAGUAGACGCACACCAGCGCCUCGCCGUCAGUCUCCAUGAGCUAGAGGCGUUCCGCCAGAAGCGCCACGACGCCAAGAAGGCGCGCGCCGCGGAGCCGGAACUUGCGGAUGCCGACGGCGUGGAGCCAAGCAGCGGGCCCACCAGCAGUCGCUCUCCCACUGGCCGCGCAGCCCCGCGUGGACAGAGCGCUGCACCGCGCGGCACUGCAUCGCAGCAGCACAAGCUCCUCGGCCCCGCCUACCAGUCCAUCGACCCGGCUACCAUCGCCAACGAGCCGCUCUACGCCGUCACCAUCGAAGAGUACAAGGCCAAAGACGCCGCAGGGGAGCGAGCCAUGGACGAGGCGGAGCGCAUGGCGGACGAAGUGCAGCGGCUCGCCGUGGAACUGGAGGACGCCAAGGCGGCGGCCGACAAGCUGGCGGAGGAGCUCGCGGCCAAGGACGAGGAGCUCGCCGCGCACCGCCAGAAGCGCCACGAUGCCCGGCAGGCGCGCGCAAGCGACCCUGCCUUGGCCGCCGCCGACGCUGUCGCGCCGCGCAGCGGGAAGGGAGCAGCAUCGCCGCACGUCGGCGCAGUGCAGCGCCAGGCCGUCGACCCUGCCACCGUGCCCGUGGCCCCCGCCGUUAUCGCGGAGGAGCCGCUCUACGUGGCCACCGCGGAGGAGCUGCAGCAUGUGCGCGACUUCGCAGAUCAGCUCGCUGAGGAGCUAGAGGCGUUCCGCCAGAAGCGCCACGACGCCAAGAAGGCGCGCGCCGCGGAGCCGGAACUUGCGGAUGCCGACGGCGUGGAGCCAAGCAGCGGGCCCACCAGCAGUCGCUCUCCCACUGGCCGCGCAGCCCCGCGUGGACAGAGCGCUGCACCGCGCGGCACUGCAUCGCAGCAGCACAAGCUCCUCGGCCCCGCCUACCAGUCCAUCGACCCGGCUACCAUCGCCAACGAGCCGCUCUACGCCGUCACCAUCGAAGAGUACAAGGCCAAAGACGCCGCAGGGGAGCGAGCCAUGGACGAGGCGGAGCGCAUGGCGGACGAAGUGCAGCGGCUCGCCGUGGAACUGGAGGACGCCAAGGCGGCGGCCGACAAGCUGGCGGAGGAGCUCGCGGCCAAGGACGAGGAGCUCGCCGCGCACCGCCAGAAGCGCCACGAUGCCCGGCAGGCGCGCGCAAGCGACCCUGCCUUGGCCGCCGCCGACGCUGUCGCGCCGCGCAGCGGGAAGGGAGCAGCAUCGCCGCACGUCGGCGCAGUGCAGCGCCAGGCCGUCGACCCUGCCACCGUGCCCGUGGCCCCCGCCGUUAUCGCGGAGGAGCCGCUCUACGUGGCCACCGCGGAGGAGCUGCAGCAUGUGCGCGACUUCGCAGAUCAGCUCGCUGAGGAGCUAGAGGCGUUCCGCCAGAAGCGCCACGACGCCAAGAAGGCGCGCGCCGCGGAGCCGGAACUUGCGGAUGCCGACGGCGUGGAGCCAAGCAGCGGGCCCACCAGCAGUCGCUCUCCCACUGGCCGCGCAGCCCCGCGUGGACAGAGCGCUGCACCGCGCGGCACUGCAUCGCAGCAGCACAAGCUCCUCGGCCCCGCCUACCAGUCCAUCGACCCGGCUACCAUCGCCAACGAGCCGCUCUACGCCGUCACCAUCGAAGAGUACAAGGCCAAAGACGCCGCAGGGGAGCGAGCCAUGGACGAGGCGGAGCGCAUGGCGGACGAAGUGCAGCGGCUCGCCGUGGAACUGGAGGACGCCAAGGCGGCGGCCGACAAGCUGGCGGAGGAGCUCGCGGCCAAGGACGAGGAGCUCGCCGCGCACCGCCAGAAGCGCCACGAUGCCCGGCAGGCGCGCGCAAGCGACCCUGCCUUGGCCGCCGCCGACGCUGUCGCGCCGCGCAGCGGGAAGGGAGCAGCAUCGCCGCACGUCGGCGCAGUGCAGCGCCAGGCCGUCGACCCUGCCACCGUGCCCGUGGCCCCCGCCGUUAUCGCGGAGGAGCCGCUCUACGUGGCCACCGCGGAGGAGCUGCAGCAUGUGCGCGACUUCGCAGAUCAGCUCGCUGAGGAGCUAGAGGCGUUCCGCCAGAAGCGCCACGACGCCAAGAAGGCGCGCGCCGCGGAGCCGGAACUUGCGGAUGCCGACGGCGUGGAGCCAAGCAGCGGGCCCACCAGCAGUCGCUCUCCCACUGGCCGCGCAGCCCCGCGUGGACAGAGCGCUGCACCGCGCGGCACUGCAUCGCAGCAGCACAAGCUCCUCGGCCCCGCCUACCAGUCCAUCGACCCGGCUACCAUCGCCAACGAGCCGCUCUACGCCGUCACCAUCGAAGAGUACAAGGCCAAAGACGCCGCAGGGGAGCGAGCCAUGGACGAGGCGGAGCGCAUGGCGGACGAAGUGCAGCGGCUCGCCGUGGAACUGGAGGACGCCAAGGCGGCGGCCGACAAGCUGGCGGAGGAGCUCGCGGCCAAGGACGAGGAGCUCGCCGCGCACCGCCAGAAGCGCCACGAUGCCCGGCAGGCGCGCGCAAGCGACCCUGCCUUGGCCGCCGCCGACGCUGUCGCGCCGCGCAGCGGGAAGGGAGCAGCAUCGCCGCACGUCGGCGCAGUGCAGCGCCAGGCCGUCGACCCUGCCACCGUGCCCGUGGCCCCCGCCGUUAUCGCGGAGGAGCCGCUCUACGUGGCCACCGCGGAGGAGCUGCAGCAUGUGCGCGACUUCGCAGAUCAGCUCGCUGAGGAGCUAGAGGCGUUCCGCCAGAAGCGCCACGACGCCAAGAAGGCGCGCGCCGCGGAGCCGGAACUUGCGGAUGCCGACGGCGUGGAGCCAAGCAGCGGGCCCACCAGCAGUCGCUCUCCCACUGGCCGCGCAGCCCCGCGUGGACAGAGCGCUGCACCGCGCGGCACUGCAUCGCAGCAGCACAAGCUCCUCGGCCCCGCCUACCAGUCCAUCGACCCGGCUACCAUCGCCAACGAGCCGCUCUACGCCGUCACCAUCGAAGAGUACAAGGCCAAAGACGCCGCAGGGGAGCGAGCCAUGGACGAGGCGGAGCGCAUGGCGGACGAAGUGCAGCGGCUCGCCGUGGAACUGGAGGACGCCAAGGCGGCGGCCGACAAGCUGGCGGAGGAGCUCGCGGCCAAGGACGAGGAGCUCGCCGCGCACCGCCAGAAGCGCCACGAUGCCCGGCAGGCGCGCGCAAGCGACCCUGCCUUGGCCGCCGCCGACGCUGUCGCGCCGCGCAGCGGGAAGGGAGCAGCAUCGCCGCACGUCGGCGCAGUGCAGCGCCAGGCCGUCGACCCUGCCACCGUGCCCGUGGCCCCCGCCGUUAUCGCGGAGGAGCCGCUCUACGUGGCCACCGCGGAGGAGCUGCAGCAUGUGCGCGACUUCGCAGAUCAGGCUGCCCAUGAUGCAACAGCGAGGGAAGCGGAAGUUGCUGGUACCGUGGAGAAUCUGAGAAAUGAGUUGGAUGAUGUGCGCGAGAUGAAUGCUAAGUUAGAAGACGAAGUUUUUGCUUUGAAAGAGCAACUGUCGGACGCUGAGGAUGCAUACAAGAAGUUAGCAGGCGCUCUGGUAGUCGCCGAAGACGAGCGUCAAGAGCUGUGUGACGAUCUGGAGGCCGCCUUAGACGAGCUUGAGCAGAAGAAAGAUGAAUACGAUGAACUGCUCGGCAACUUGGAGGAGGUUCAGGGUUUGCUGGAAGCUGCUGACGUUGCUGGGCGAACCGCUGUGGAGGCGUUGGAGCAGCGAAACCGAGACAUGGCGGACCUGCAGGGCGAGUUGGCCAAUGCGCUGGACGCCAGCAAAGAAAAUGAGAAUCUUCGUGCACUGCUGGAUGCCAAGGAGAGAGAGAUCGAUAGACUGAAAGAGUACAACAGUUUCUGGACUGACACUGUCGGCACCGGAAAGCAGAAGGUAACACACAGGCUCACAAAGAUCUUCGAUGGCGACUGGACUCGUUUGAUGCGUCAUAGACCUGAGGCACUGAAGGCAGCGUUCGUGAUUGAUUCCAGCAACGCAUGCCACGUGCCCGGAGACCAGAUUGUGCAAGUAGAUUUCGAUCACGAUUAGUAAGAACGGUGUCGAUGGGAGUUUUUCUGCUUUGUAAGAGCCCGUCAUCAGUUUUCUCUGCUUGUUUUGGUUCGCAUUUUCGCUGAGCAAGACGCGCUGGUUUGCGCCUCGAUCAUGUUGGUACUGGUCCCUUGAAGUGGGUGAGAGCGCCUCAUCGGUUAUUUGGUUUGUGGAGUGAGUGUGCUGGCGUUCUCAUACCGCAGAGCGUGUAUUCUGCCACGUGCUUAUUUUUUUCAUUGUAUUAUGAUUCCUCAGUCAUCUGUUCAUGGUGAACGCGCCCGUUGUCACCAUUUUUUCCUUGCGCUAUCCCUCUUUGAUUCCAUAGUGAUCCACUCUUGAAGUAAGCGUUGGCUCGUUUUGCAGGACAUUUGUGAGCUUUUCUCACACUAUCGUCUUGCCUGAUACGUGGAGUUACUUCAGUGUAGUUUGCUGCCGUGUUUGUGCUUUUGUUCGUAGACUGUCUUGACGAUCAUAGUUCCUUCAUCCUGUUGUUUGCAGGUGUGUCUUGUAUGUCUGAGGACGACGCCUGGCUCACCGGUUGCUCAGUUCAUCGUCUGUCUGUGUACGUGUUC
This 7021-nucleotide unclassified non-coding RNA is filed under the name Leishmania donovani. Its description in RNAcentral is "gene:unknown". The record is from RNAcentral. Lineage: Eukaryota; Euglenozoa; Kinetoplastea; Trypanosomatida; Trypanosomatidae.